Molecule: ribosomal RNA, 717 nt
Filed under: Streptomyces sp.
Lineage: Bacteria; Bacillati; Actinomycetota; Actinomycetes; Kitasatosporales; Streptomycetaceae
Description: bacterial SSU rRNA
Source: RNAcentral
GGCGACGGGUGAGUAACACGUGGGCAAUCUGCCCUGCACUCUGGGACAAGCCCUAARRAACGGGGUCUAAUACCGGAUAACACCCCCUCUCGCAUGGRRGGGGGUUGAAAGCUCCGGCGGUGCAGGAUGAGCCCGCGGCCUAUCAGCUUGUUGGUGAGGUAGAAGCUCACCAAGGCGACGACGGGUAGCCGGCCUGAGAGGGCGACCGGCCACACUGGGACUGAGACACGGCCCAGACUCCUACGGGAGGCAGCAGUGGGGAAUAUUGCACAAUGGGCGAAAGCCUGAUGCAGCGACGCCGCGUGAGGGAUGACGGCCUUCGGGUUGUAAACCUCUUUCAGCAGGGAAGAAGCGAAAGUGACGGUACCUGCAKAAGAAGCGCCGGCUAACUACGUGCCAGCAGCCGCGGUAAUACGUAGGGCGCAAGCGUUGUCCGGAAUUAUUGGGCGUAAAGAGCUCGUAGGCGGCUUGUCACGUCGGUUGUGAAAGCCCGGGGCUUAACCCCGGGUCUGCAGUCGAUACGGGCAGGCUAGAGUGUGGUAGGGGAGAUCGGAAUUCCUGGUGUAGCGGUGAAAUGCGCAGAUAUCAGGAGGAACACCGGUGGCGAAGGCGGAUCUCUGGGCCAUUACUGACGCUGAGGAGCGAAAGCGUGGGGAGCGAACAGGAUUAGAUACCCUGGUAGUCCACGCCGUAAACGGUGGGAACUAGGUGUUGGGC